AAGAUGACACAGCUGACAGUCAGUUCCAUUUAAAGCACUUAGCCUGGCUCUGCCAACAUCUUACAGUGCUGUAAAGCUGGAAUUAAUGCUACUGAAUUCAAGAGAGGAUAAUUCCUCUUUAUCUUCAUUUUUAAGCUUUUACAGUAAGAGAAGGGAAAGCUGCAGUUACCUUAGCACCUCAAGAUUUGCUUUAUUCUUUAAUACUCUUUUACCUAUUUAAAUUUCAGAUGGUAAAGACAGAGAGGCAGUUUUCUCACCUCCUCCUGUGAGGAGAAAUCAACAAUCAACAUCUUGGUUCAUAAACUUGUGCCAGCAUUUUGUUCUGUUCUUCAGCAGAAGUAGCUCUACUGUGCUGAUCAGAUUAGUGAAAUGAAGAAACAGGAUAUCCACCCAGCUUUUAUCUGAGUAGCCCUUCAGGAAUGAACAGUUUCAGCUUUGAUUUUUGUUUUUUAAGAGUUAGUUAAACAUAUUUGUAAUACGAAUUUUAUUUAUACUUGCUAAAAAUGUAUUUUAAAAAUCAACAACUUUAAUGUGAAUAACUGAUUAAAAAGUAAUGUAUUGGC
Molecule: long non-coding RNA, 563 nt
Organism: Lagopus leucura (white-tailed ptarmigan)
Lineage: Eukaryota; Metazoa; Chordata; Aves; Galliformes; Phasianidae
Exons: 2
Source: RefSeq, a predicted model, not a curated record